RNAcentral lists this ribosomal RNA (879 nucleotides) under Triticum aestivum (bread wheat). RNAcentral's name for it is "partial small subunit ribosomal RNA". Lineage: Eukaryota; Viridiplantae; Streptophyta; Magnoliopsida; Poales; Poaceae. The record is from RNAcentral.
AUGAGUUGGAAGCGCAGAGAGCGAUGGAGGAGGAGAACCGAGAGCGGCGACGGCGAGAGGGCGAGGGAAGGGGAACCGCGGCGGCUUGAGAAGACGAACAGAUCUGCGGCCAGCAAUGGCAGCAUCGAUCUGGAUCUUCUUGACUGCACCAUCUGCAUGGAUCCCCUCCGCCCUCCGGUCCUCCAGUGCACAGUUGGGCAUGUAAUCUGCUCGUCCUGCCAUGGCAGCCUACUGAACAAGGACAGCUGCCACAUGUGCACGGCCACCGGCGGCUACAAUCGAUGCAUCGCGCUCGACAAAAUUCUUGAGUCAUUCUGUGUUUCCUGCUCCAAUGCCGUGUACGGGUGCACUGUGAAGACACUCUACUACAAGGCUAAAGAUCAUCGCAAUUUGUGCCCGCACGCGCCAUGUUUCUGCCCAGGACCCGCCUGCAGCUUUGCCGGCACAACCGUCAAGCUCCUGGCUCAUCUCACCGGCGAUCACAAGUGGAAAUCCAAGGAGGUUAAGUACGACGCCAAGUUCACUCUGCCUGUCAAAGAAGGGACGUGGGUUCUCCAUGCCCAAGGCCACGCGCCCCUGUUCCUGGUGAAAUUCACCCCGGCGCCGCCUUUCGGCAACGUCGCCUCCGUCCUGUGCGUCGGUCCUCAUGCCACUGCUGAGCAUAGGUUCAGGUGCUGUCUUCGUUGCAGUGGCCCCGCCAUCGGUCAGCAGAAAUCCUCUGAUUUCCUGGUCAGGAGCACCACCCUCUCCGAUGGGUUACAGCUGACAGAGUAUGAUGGCUCCUUACUGUUUGCUUCUAGCACCCGCAGCAUCACUGCCCAUAUCAGAGAUGUAGUGCGUGACAAGCAUAAGCGUGGGAUGUCGAUCCGUUUGCGGUAG